RNAcentral lists this long non-coding RNA (508 nucleotides) under Calidris pugnax (ruff). RNAcentral describes it as "lncRNA (ENSCPUG00000002619.1)". The record is from RNAcentral. Lineage: Eukaryota; Metazoa; Chordata; Aves; Charadriiformes; Scolopacidae.
GUUGGGCGACCUUGCCUCAUACCAACACAUGAUGCUACCAGUCAGCUGAUCUCUGGUGGUUAAGACUUCCACAUUCUCUCAGAGUUAGUGCCUCUUUCUCUAGUUCCCAUUUAAGCAUCUGCCCCACGUAGGGUGUAAGCAAUCCCGUGUUGUUUCCUCUGGCAGCCCUCUUUGGGGGCUGUCAGCAGGGCUCCCCGAUAAGUAUCUCAACAACAGUCUUCCUGUAUGAUUCUGACCUAAUACGUGAUCAGCUGUCUGUUUCUCUCCACAGCAAAGCGUUUGGAAAAUGACACAGCCUGAAGAAAAACGGGAAUUCAAAAUCUGGCUCCAGAUUUCCUUGUGAACCAGUCUGCUCCUCCGCAUCUCUAGAAAGGGACAGUUCUCCUGUGCUGUAAAUGAUACCUGAGGCUUGACAUCUAUGCAGUCUCCAAAGACAGAAUCUAAAAGUGAAACCUACAAGCUCAGACCUUGGGGAGAAGAGUCCAGUGGAACUGAGCAACUGAUGUAG